RNAcentral lists this ribosomal RNA (550 nucleotides) under Aureobasidium pullulans. RNAcentral's name for it is "partial large subunit ribosomal RNA". It matches the Rfam family "Eukaryotic large subunit ribosomal RNA", at positions 48 to 606 of the family's 3401-position model. The record is from RNAcentral. Lineage: Eukaryota; Fungi; Ascomycota; Dothideomycetes; Dothideales; Saccotheciaceae.
UAGCGGAGGAAAAGAAACCAACAGGGAUUGCCCUAGUAACGGCGAGUGAAGCGGCAACAGCUCAAAUUUGAAAGCUAGCCUUCGGGUUCGCAUUGUAAUUUGUAGAGGAUGAUUUGGGGAAGCCGCCUGUCUAAGUUCCUUGGAACAGGACGUCAUAGAGGGUGAGAAUCCCGUAUGUGACAGGAAAUGGCACCCUAUGUAAAUCUCCUUCGACGAGUCGAGUUGUUUGGGAAUGCAGCUCUAAAUGGGAGGUAAAUUUCUUCUAAAGCUAAAUAUUGGCGAGAGACCGAUAGCGCACAAGUAGAGUGAUCGAAAGAUGAAAAGCACUUUGGAAAGAGAGUUAAAAAGCACGUGAAAUUGUUGAAAGGGAAGCGCUUGCAAUCAGACUUGUUUAAACUGUUCGGCCGGUCUUCUGACCGGUUUACUCAGUUUGGACAGGCCAGCAUCAGUUUCGGCGGCCGGAUAAAGGCUCUGGGAAUGUGGCCUCCACUUCGGUGGAGGUGUUAUAGCCCAGGGUGUAAUACGGCCAGCCGGGACUGAGGUCCGCGCU